GGAAACUGACUUUUGUUGGGGAAUGGCCACAGUCUAGAGGUUCACAGCUGUGAUCACUGUGGAAAAUACAACUUGCUGUACAUAGGCCGAAAGGAUGGUUGCCAGGGGCUGGGCCUCUUCAGAUUGUGCCUCUGUCACUCAGCGGUAGUUGUAAAGCAGCUGAGACAGUUGUAACAGCUUCUUUGUGGUGAAUGAGGGCAUCAGGAGUUCUUCCUGUCUUCUUGAAGUUCUAAUAGAUAUCUCAUCUUUAAAAUAAACAUACU
This 263-nucleotide long non-coding RNA is filed under the name Bos taurus (domestic cattle). RNAcentral describes it as "long non-coding RNA NONBTAT026865". The record is from RNAcentral. Lineage: Eukaryota; Metazoa; Chordata; Mammalia; Artiodactyla; Bovidae.